UACGUAGGGUGCAAGCGUUAAUCGGAAUUACUGGGCGUAAAGCGUACGCAGGCGGCUGGGUAAGACAGGUGUGAAAUCCCCGGGCUUAACCUGGGAACUGCAUUUGUGACUGCCCGGCUAGAGUCCGUUAGAAAAAGGUGGAAUUCCACGUAUAGCAGUGAAAUGCGUAGAGAUGUAGAGGAACACCGAUGGCGAAGGCAGCCCCCUAAAACAGGACUGACGCUCAUGUACGAAAGCGUAAAAAGCAAACAGG
This 253-nucleotide ribosomal RNA is filed under the name uncultured bacterium. RNAcentral's name for it is "partial 16S ribosomal RNA". It matches the Rfam family "Bacterial small subunit ribosomal RNA", at positions 524 to 776 of the family's 1533-position model. The record is from RNAcentral.